RNAcentral lists this unclassified non-coding RNA (248 nucleotides) under Hevea brasiliensis (rubber tree). The record is from RNAcentral. Lineage: Eukaryota; Viridiplantae; Streptophyta; Magnoliopsida; Malpighiales; Euphorbiaceae.
AAAUGCUUGUUGUAAAGCUGGAGAAAUGCAAAGAGCAACGAAAGCAGUUGAAGAGAUGGAAACUGUUGGGAUCAAACCUAACUUAAAGACCUAUACCACUCUUAUACAUGGUUGGGCACGGGCUUCUCUUCCCGAGAAGGGUUUGAAAUGUUUUGAACAGAUGAAGCAGUCUGGUUUGAAACCAGACAAAGCUGUAUACCACUGUUUAAUGACAUCAUUGUUGUCAAGGGCGGCAGUUGCUGAUCAAG